Long non-coding RNA from Acinonyx jubatus (cheetah), 4022 nucleotides. RefSeq lists it as uncharacterized. The record is from RefSeq and is a predicted model, not a curated record. Lineage: Eukaryota; Metazoa; Chordata; Mammalia; Carnivora; Felidae. The transcript has 3 exons.
CAGAAGGAAGGCAUUGUAACUUUUGCAGGGCGGGGGGGAUCCCCAUACUCUUGGUCUGACUUUGAGACAUCCUCAGAGUUGUGCAUCGUGUAUUUGUGCUUUGAACGACGUGGUUCGGGCUCAACUGUAUUGCUCCCAAAUUCAUAUGUGGAAAUCCUAACCCUUGGCACCUCAGCAUGUGACUGUAUUCGGAGAUAGGGUCUUUAAUGAGGUCAUUAAAAUGAGGUCAUUGGGGCGGGCCCCAAGAGCAUGAUAGGUGUCCUUGUAAGAGAGAGAUCGGGACACAUACACAGAGGGAGAAGGUGGCCUUCUACAAGCCCAGGAGAGAUGUGUCAGAAGGAAUCAAGCCUACCAACAUGUGGAUCUUAGACUUCCGGCCUCCAGAGCUGCAAGGGAAUAAAUUGCUGUUGGUUAAGCCCCCCAGUCUGUGGUAUGUCGUUACGGCAGCUGGUGCAAAGCAAUAGACACAGAGAUGAUUUAAUAGCCAUCUGAUUAGAGACACCUCGGGAAAUUUCAGAUCACCCACUCAGAGAACUGGAGCUGAUCGAGGGGACCGUCUUCCGAGUCUUCUGAGUCCCUCCUCCUCGGGAGGACUUCUCCUUUGUGCUCUUGUAUUUAAUCGUCCUAUUAACCCUGUGAAUUUGGGAUUACAAAUUCCAAUUUAUUGACGAGGAAACCGAAGCCUGGAGGCUUAUGUGACUUGACCCAAGCCACCCUGCUAAUUUCAGCAGAACCAGGAGUUCUAGAGGUUGAGUUGCGUAAAUGCUCUGCUUGGGACCAGCCCGGCCAACGUAACUUGAGGCUUGCCACCAGCUGCCAAGGUGACCUGCUGGAAGAGCAAUUUGGAAAAAAUAAAGAAGGUGAGGCACAAGGAAGAAUUUCAAAGCCUUUCCCUAAUCAGGACGAAUGGCUGUGAGCCUGAGGUGUGUGCAGAUAGCUUGCCACAUCUCAGAACGCAGCUCUUGCCACAAGCCAAUGCCUCGCUGGCUCUGAAAUUUAUGCUGGAAUUUAGACAGAGAACACAAAUCAUCGUAAUCUCCCGAUGAAAGAUCACUGUCUCUGCAAAUGCAUUACCUGCUUGGAAAGCGACAUGUUAAAAAAUACUGAUAAUAUAUGGGCACAGGGAGAGCGAUUUCCAUGCCUGGGCUCCUCCAGCUAAAAUACGCACACCUGCACAAGAGGCGGCAGAUGACAAAGUAAGUCACCGGGGCCCAGGAGCAGCUUCUGUGUUGAGCUGUGGCUCUGACACUCCAAACAAAAGACCCUGCAAGCCUAUGGAGCAGUCUCCCCCCACCACCUCCAACAUGGGGCGCCUCGGAUGCCGGAGGCCCGAGUGGGGGGCGUGUGAUUCCAUCCUUCCCACCCCCAGUCAGGAUGCCCUUGGUCUUUUCUGCAGGAGGGAGAGGUGGGAGGAGGAACUGGAGCAACUGAUGGGCCUCAGAGCUGGAGGAAGCUUCCAGAAUGAGUUAGAGGGACCACCCCGUUCACUUCCCUCCCUCUCUCACCCCUCCCAAGUGCUCGGUAAGCAGCCCUGUGGGGGCCUCCUUCGCGUGGAGAUAAGAUACAAAGACAGCCCUUAGCUGUGGGGGCACAGGCCUGUGACUGCUGGAAGGGCUGCCCUCCUGUCUCCCCACCUCUCCCUUUCCUCAGGCAGCUCCAAGACAUAACAGCUCGGGGGAGAGCGUGGGCUUGGAGUCAGACAGACCGGCUUUCUGUGGCCGUGACUCCAACUUCCCGACUAAUUGGCAGCGUGACCUUGGGCAUGUCCCCUCCCUCGCUCGCUAAGCCUCAGCUUCUUCCGGGCACCACCCGCCUCCCUCUCCCAGCGCCCAGCCACUUGGCUUGUGGCUCAAGGUUACAGCUUGGUCUUUGCGACGCGGGCGCCCUGUCUUCCUCCGCAGUGUGCUGUGAGUGCCAAGGCCGGCUUUCCUCCAUGCCUCUGCUCAGGGAGAAGCAAUUCGGAGUCUAAUGGGCUUGCGGAACAGAAAUGAAAAAGAGCCUAAGGAGUACCGUCUGCGGAGAGGCCAGCUUGGAAGAACCUGUUUGCAGCAAAGGCGGAUGGCGGUCAGAAGACGGCCUCGUGGGGUCUCUGCCAGGCCUGUUUGGAGGACCGGGCGGCUGAGGGACUGGAGUGCAGGGCUGCCGGAUCCGUGUCUGCCGGAUCGGUCUGGCCUCUCCAAGCGCGGUUCGGCCUCGCGAAGCUGUGCAACAGGUGCGUGGGGCACCUGCCCCUCCCCCUUCCCAGAGCCCACUUCCCGUUCACCAUCGUUCUCCAGAAUGGUUUCUGGCUCCAUAAAACCAAAGGCAUUUGGCGCAUAAAACCAAACACCUUUUGUGUGAUGGCCUUCUCGUCAUGAGUUAAUAAGAUACAGAAUGAAUGAGCACGGCCUCUGCGCUCCUGGUUUCCCUAUAUAGUCGUGACGGGGUGGGAGAGUGGUCGUCCCGCCCCUCUGGGUUAUCUUCAGUGUCUUUCAGGUCUGGUCCCAUUUCAUCUGACUUUCUCCUCCCGUGGAAUGAUAAGCUCUUCAAACAGACAUUCCUUCCUUGUGCCCGUAAGACAAGGGAAUGGUAAACACAAGAUUCAGGAUGAUGGCUGGUAACCAUGAUGAUGAGAUGUGAGGUCACCAGAUGGUUUGCUGUAGAUUGUUUGCUUUUGUUUUGGUCAGUGGGAUUAUGAGUGCUCAUGACAUUGCAAAAAAAAUUACUUAUCAACCUAAAGAAAUAAAUAAGUAAAUAAGCCAUCCUAUAUCUGAGCAAUGAUGACAAUGAGUCAUUAAGUGAAGAUUAUGAUUGAUACAAUUCUGCUUCUCUGAGAUUAGAAAACAAAAGUCAUGUACUUGGGGGAGGGGAUGAGAAAAAGCCACAUGCCUGAGAGAGGAGUGUGUGAGGUAAGGGAUGGGGCUCAGGUGAGAGGUAGGGGAGAGAGCUAUGUAGGAUCUCAUAGGGCCUGUUAAUGACUUGGAUUUAAUGGGGUAGUAUGAUGACAUGGUCUUUAUAUUUCAAAGGUCUCAUUCUGGCUGCAUCAUGGGUAUUUUAUUAGUGGUGGUCAGAGAGAAUAUGGGGAAGGCUGGUUGGGAGGCUGUAUCUACUGUAGGUAAGAGGUGAUGGUAGCAUGGAUUAAGGUGAGAUAAUGAGAGAAGCAGGUGAACUUAAAUAACAGUAAGUAAAAACUGAUAAUUUUAGAUAGAAUAUGGGGCAUGAGAGUCAAUGAUGAUGCCUCCAUUUUAUUUGUGAAGGAGGUGGAUGGUGGGCUAUUUACUGAGAAGAAAGUGAGUUUAGUUUUGACUAUGUUGGAUUUGGAUGCUUUUGAGAUAUGCCAGUGGGCAGCUGGAUAUUGGGCUCCAUAACUUCCAUGGGAUCUGAGUUAGCUGAGGAUGUACAAGGGAGUCAUGGAUAUGUGGGUGGGGAUUAAAAUUGUGGAAGUUGAUAAGAUUACCUAGAAAGAAACAGUGUAGUGAGAAGAAAGCUGUUGUAAAAACAAAAUUUAAGUAGACAAUUAAAUUAAAACAGGCCACACAUAUCCUAUGAUGAACGUGUAUCAUGAAUCAAAGAUUAUGAUUAAUCUAGUUAAAAAAAAAUCAGGGUCUAAGAAACAAAACAUAUGAAUAUAUGGGAGGGGAGAAAAAAGAGAGAGUGAAACAAACCAUAAGAUACUCUUUACCAUAGAGAACAAACUGAGGGUUGAUGGAGGGAGUGGGUGGGGGUUGGGCGAGAUGGGUGAUGAAUGACAGGUAUUAAGGAGGGUACUUGUCAUGAUGAGCACUGGGUAUUGUAUGUAAAUGAUGAAUCACUGAAUUCUAUUCCUGAAACCAAUAUUGCAUUGUAUGUUAACUAACUAGAAUUUAAAUAAAAAAUUGAAAAAAAAAUCAAGGUCUGGCAUUUGGAGAGAUCUUGACUUUUCCAGGAGGGAAAGAAAGCCAGUCGGCGUAGGGUACAGAGGGGUGUGGGUGGUGGGAGGUGAGGUGGGCUGUGGAAGGAGAUAGGGGAUAGAUCAUCCAGCAUGUCAUAGAGCAUGUUCAGGA